UUAUGUAUAUUCUUUUCAUCAUGGAGGUCCAACUGCAUGACCAACACCAGGGCUGUGGCCUGGACCUCCAUCUUCUGAAACAUUAACAUUGCCAUGCAUGUUAUGAUCAUUAUCAUGACCAAAUUUGAAGUAGUUCUCUGCCACUACUUUUCUUUGGCUAUUUUCUCCAUGGCUUAUUAUUGUUUUGUUGUUCUUCUCUUUCUUCAAGACCCUUCCCUCACUCAAUAAAAUACCAUUUGAGAACAAGAUCAAUGUUAGGAAAAAAGCACAAGUGCACACUAUCGUUGGUUCAGCCAUUUCCUAAGGAAAACCAAUUGUAGUGCUAACUCUCUCUCUAUGUCUCUUUCUUUGUACGCGGGUUGGUGGUAUGUAUGAUUCUGGAAGUUGAUACUCCUUUGAGGAUGGAAAGUUGAAACCAUACUUGAAAUCGCUGCCUAUUCCAGAAGUAAACAAUGAACCUGUCAAGGUGGUAGUUGCAGAGACUCUUGAGGAUAUGGUGUUCAACUCCGGGAAAGAUGUACUGCUAGAGUUCUAUCGACUUGGGUGUAAAUACUGUGAGGAGUUUGCUCCAGUCUUGGAUGAAAUAGCUCUCUCAUUUGAAAAAGACCCUGAAAAAAUAUAACUUGUAUAACGUGGACUGAUCCACGUUAUACAAAAAUUGU
Molecule: long non-coding RNA, 662 nt
Organism: Lycium barbarum (goji berry)
Lineage: Eukaryota; Viridiplantae; Streptophyta; Magnoliopsida; Solanales; Solanaceae
Exons: 3
Source: RefSeq, a predicted model, not a curated record